GAUGAACGCUGGCGGCGUGCUUAACACAUGCAAGUCGAGCGAGUGAGUUCUUCGGAACGAUCUAGCGGCGGACGGGUGAGUAACACGUGGGCAACCUGCCUCAUAGAGGGGAAUAGCCUCCCGAAAGGGAGAUUAAUACCGCAUAAAAUUAUCGAGUGGCAUCACAUGAUAAUCAAAGGAGUAAUCCGCUAUGAGAUGGGCCCGCGGCGCAUUAGCUAGUUGGUGAGGUAACGGCUCACCAAGGCGACGAUGCGUAGCCGACCUGAGAGGGUGAUCGGCCACAUUGGGACUGAGACACGGCCCAGACUCCUACGGGAGGCAGCAGUGGGGAAUAUUGCACAAUGGGGGAAACCCUGAUGUAGCAACGCCGCGUGAGUGAUGAAGGUCUUCGGAUUGUAAAGCUCUAUCUUUGGGGACGAUAAUGACGGUACCCAAGGAGGAAGCCACGGCUAACUACGUGCCAGCCGCCGCCGUAA
Molecule: ribosomal RNA, 476 nt
Filed under: uncultured bacterium
Lineage: Bacteria
Description: partial 16S ribosomal RNA
Rfam family: Bacterial small subunit ribosomal RNA
Source: RNAcentral